Molecule: transfer RNA, 64 nt
Filed under: Odorrana hosii (Mount Dulit frog)
Lineage: Eukaryota; Metazoa; Chordata; Amphibia; Anura; Ranidae
Description: tRNA-Cys
Source: RNAcentral
GGCCCUGGGGUGUAACCACGUGGGGUUGCAAACCCUAAGAUGCAGAUAAUAUCUGCCGGGGCUU